GUGUCAGCCGCCGCGGUAAUACGUAGGGUGCGAGCGUUAAUCGGAAUUACUGGGCGUAAAGCGUGCGCAGGCGGUUUUGAAAGUCAGAUGUGAAAUCCCCGGGCUCAACCUGGGAAUUGCAUUUGAGACUGCACGGCUAGAGUGUGUCAGAGGGGGGUAGAAUUCCACGUGUAGCAGUGAAAUGCGUAGAUAUGUGGAGGAAUACCGAUGGCGAAGGCAGCCCCCUGGGAUAACACUGACGCUCAUGCACGAAAGCGUGGGGAGCAAACAGGAUUAGAUACCCGUGUAGUCC
This 292-nucleotide ribosomal RNA is filed under the name uncultured Herbaspirillum sp. RNAcentral describes it as "partial 16S ribosomal RNA". It matches the Rfam family "Bacterial small subunit ribosomal RNA", at positions 505 to 796 of the family's 1533-position model. Lineage: Bacteria; Pseudomonadati; Pseudomonadota; Betaproteobacteria; Burkholderiales; Oxalobacteraceae. The record is from RNAcentral.